UAAAUUUUCUAACCAGCUCUUCUUUGGUCAUACCUCCGUGCUGGACCUGCUCCCUGAUGCGCUGGUGGGAAAUGGGAGAACCGUGUUCUGGAUCACAUUGUCAGGUUUUUCCUCUCCCCCUGUUGCGUCAUCCCAGAAUCCCAGAAUGGUUUGGGUUGGAAGGGACCUUAAAGAUCAUCUAGUUCCAACCCCCCAGGGCAGGGACACCUCCCACCAGACCAGGCUGCUCCAAGCCCCAUCCAGCCUGGCCUUGAACCCCUCCAGGGAUGGGGCAUCCACAGCUUCUCUGCGCAACCUGUUCCAGUGUCUCACCACCCUCACAGGAAAGAAUUUCCUCCUGAUACCUAAUCUAAAUCUACCCUCUUUCAGUUUGAGGCCGUUACCCCGUGUCCUAUCAUUACAUUCCCAGCCCAGAUAUCAAUACCAGUGUGUCCACCCAACGUUGGACAUUAACUCCCCCAGCAGUUCUGCUCAGUGGGUAUUUCAGUCCGGCUUCUGGCAAAUCCUUUGGGAUUUUGUGUCUCCUCCUUCCCAAGAAGUGUCCCUGUGCUAACCAGGGGAAUUUUUAUCUGCACUUUUAUUUUGUACGGUACACUAGAGAGCAGCAUGUUAGAGGGUUGUUUUAAUGCUGAAGAAAAGCGGGCCCUGAAAAGAUCUUGGUUUAUUUUCCCAGUUCCUGUGGGAAAAUAUAAAGGCUUUUUAUCUAUCACUGAACUAGGCAGUGGCUGACAAAUAGUUUCCUGUUUGGGGGAAUGGAGAUAUAUGUACCCACUUGCUUUCCAUACGCGUUACUGACUGAGCUACCAAGUGACAAGCACAGGUUUUCCAUUCUGCCUACAUGCUGAAAUUUGAAUUUUCAAUCCUCUCCUUCACUUCAGGUUAAUUAAUCCAAUUUAAGUGAAUUCAGUCAACCGCUCUACACUUUCUCCAAGCAAGAUAAAAUGCAACAAUGUGUGGCUCAUGCCUGUUUACAAGAUUUUUGAUAUAGGUGUAAAUUAUAAAUUUCCAUGUUUCUCUGCUUUGUUUUACCAGCUACACAUCAGAGAUAUCCAAGAAUUUUCUGGAAGAGCAAACUCCUUAAUUUUUCACAGGCUCUGUGACUCUAGAGCCCUUGUAUCAUUGGCUUGCUCUGGUUUUUCAUUGAACGAAAAGAACCAAAAUCAAAUUUGGAAAGGAUACUGAUCACCCAAAUGACUCUGAAAGCAUUCUUCCAUGGGUAUAGCUAAAGGAGCUUACGGUAUAAUGCAAGGAAAGAGAGUUCAGCAGAGGCAGGGUCUAAAGAAAAUGCACAGAAAGUUGGGAUUAGCAGUGUUUGGCCACAUUUUCACAAAACCCAAACAAAUCUAGGUUUGUAAAUAUGCCAAAUAGCUGUAUCUUCCUCAUGGAAGUUAGUCAUUGUUUUUGAGUGCUGAGAAGUGAAAUUCCAACUCGGAUACAGUGGUGCAGAACUAUUUUCAGCGUGUUUACGGAGCCCUGCCUGUGCGUUGGGACAAGAAGGACAACGCAAAGUCAGUCUCCUUUCUGCCGGUGGUGUUCCUUGUGCCCCGGAAAACUGCCCACGUUGGGCAACCCCUGGAGCUUGUUCUUCAGAAAACUCCUCUGAAUUUGAUUCCUUCCUGUGCCAGCGGAUAUCCUUUCGACCAAGAAAAAUGUUCUGCCAUCCCUAAACUAUUUACUUGCAAGAUGGAGCAGCCAAGUGGGUCUGUUUGCAUAAGUCCGCUUCUUUAUAGCCAGAGGCUGUUUGCUUACCUCCCAGUCAGGAUGGCUGCUUCUCGUCUGGUCUCUACCCUGUUUGUUUUGUUUUACUCGUAGCCCUGCUACACAUCAGAAUUUCCAUGAGUUCAGCUCUGAAUCACUUGAAUACACAAACCUUUCCAGCUGUAGUGCACAGGGAAGGUCAAUGCUAUAACUGAAAAUAAAUGAAUUUGGCAUAGGUGCCUGUGUCUCAGGCUCUGCAUGGGCGCAGGCAUCUCUGGUGAGGGUGGCUGGGGUGCUGGCUGGGUGGGAACCAAGGGCAGGUAAGCGUGUUCAAUGGAGCAAGUUCUUCUUCAUAUUGAUGUUAGUGGAACCCGAACUAUGACGCUGUGCUUGCCAUAUAGGUAGCGAGCGGCUAAUUCUCUAGAAAGUUGGUAACAACAAUCAAAUCUGCACAGCUGUGGGUAUUUUCUGUGCAUGGUGUUUAUUUGAUUGCUUUUUUCCUCAGACUCUCUUCGCCCAAUACACUUGUACUCAAAACAUUUCAGUUGGUCAGCGCAGACCUAUGAAAUUACAAGUUAGUUGGUUCUAACAUUCAAACACGUCAUGUUCCAAGGACAUACGUGCAUCUCUGUUUUUAAACAGCCUGUCUUUGGCUGAAACAGUGGCGAUUCUUCAUGAGGAAACCUAGAGGAAAUAAGCAGAAUAGAAAAAUCCUGGGAAAUAAGAAGCAGUACUGCUCUGCUUUUCAUCCCUGUUGCCUACUUCUGGACAUUGGUUAGAUUAGGAUUUCAGUAAACCUAAAAGACAGGAGAUCAGGAAGAAAAUAAAAUACAUCCACAAUCCACUCUCACAUUAAUGGAACAAUACCCUGAAAGGGAAAUCCUGCCAAUAGUUGCCUCUGUGCUUUUUGCAAGAUGGUGAUAAAAAAAAAGCAAAAGAAAUCUCUUCAUUUUCAAGAUAGCUUCACAAAGAAAGCAACCAGACAUGGAGCCAUCUUCCACCCUUCACUGCCAGCGGCUGUUGCGUGUGAUGUCCUUGGAUGCCCAAAAGAUUAGGCAGUCUCAUCCACCUGGCCCAUGUAACAGGGAUCAAAGACAUUGCUCCAUCUACAAACUUAAGCUCACGCUCUCUGAAAAUGAAGAGGACAAAUUGAAAGUUAUAGUCUGAGAAAGUUAAUAGGCACAUCUGGCUCUUGAGGGGGGCAAAAUUGUGGACCAGUCCUCUCAUGUGGCAAUGCAUUAUGAGCAACAGAAAAGGUUCUUCUACUCUGGUAUUUUUCACAGUUCAGCUUCAGUCAUCAGCCUGCACCAUAUUGACCACUCCGGUUUGCUGCAUCGCUUGCACCAUGGCACUUCUCAACAUCCGGAAGAACUCAAUACUUCUGCUAUAAAGAAUGUGGACGUAAAGACCAGCCUGCAUGUUUGUGUCCCUGAAUUACUUCCACUUGAGGAGAAAGCUGUGUACUAUUGGAUAAGGUCCUGAAACAUAAUUUAAAAGCAUCAGCAGCAGAGAAAAACACCCUGAAGUGGGGGAAGGAUACGCUUCUUGAACAUUAUUCAUUUGAAUCACGGAGCUAUAUAGAAGCAGGUAUUGGUAUGAUGCAGGCGAUGUGUGACAGAGUACCAAACGGACAUUCUUGAAGGCAGCUCCAUCUUCCCUAAGACAUCACUAUUCUCUUAGUAGGCCAUAUCUUUUUAGGGAAUCGCUCAGCAUGUCUAUGAGCUUUCCCAGUCCUAAAUUCUUUUAAGCUGCUUAUUUCUUCUGGAGUGAAAACUGGAGACAGGGUAGCCCCUGAGUUGCUGUGAAGGCAUCGGAGCAACAUUCCUCACUUUUAGGGGACUGGUGUGGUGGCAUGCAGGAAUCUAAUGUUCCAUGCGAUUUAUGAUUUUCCACUUUACUGAAGAAAUAAUUCUGUUUGUUUGUAGGUUUAUGAACUUGCAGUCUUGAAUGCACAGUACUACAAGUCACGAAUGAUUUCAUCUGUCGGCUGUUCUGUCUUAAAUGAAGAAAUAUUAUUUAUU
Molecule: long non-coding RNA, 3719 nt
Organism: Chroicocephalus ridibundus (black-headed gull)
Lineage: Eukaryota; Metazoa; Chordata; Aves; Charadriiformes; Laridae
Exons: 3
Source: RefSeq, a predicted model, not a curated record